This 191-nucleotide non-coding RNA is filed under the name Ormyrus pomaceus. Lineage: Eukaryota; Metazoa; Arthropoda; Insecta; Hymenoptera; Ormyridae. The record is from RNAcentral.
AUUAGGGUCGGCACGGUACUGAGACAACAACAAACGUCCUUCUUCGCUUUCCGUUUGAGAACGGGUAAGAAGAGGGAUAGACCCAAUAACCCAUUGAAUUUAUACGGCUUCUCUUCGCCAUUUGGGUUGGCCAUCGAACAACCAGGAAAUGGCAGUGUUGUUGGACUUGGUAUUGUGUGCGGCGUAAUUUU